RNAcentral lists this ribosomal RNA (463 nucleotides) under Vreelandella stevensii. Its description in RNAcentral is "partial 16S ribosomal RNA". It matches the Rfam family "Bacterial small subunit ribosomal RNA", at positions 339 to 795 of the family's 1533-position model. Lineage: Bacteria; Pseudomonadati; Pseudomonadota; Gammaproteobacteria; Oceanospirillales; Halomonadaceae. The record is from RNAcentral.
CCACGGGUGGCUGCAGUGGGGAAUAUUGGACAAUGGGCGAAAGCCUGAUCCAGCCAUGCCGCGUGUGUGAAGAAGGCCUUCGGGUUGUAAAGCACUUUCAGUGGGGAAGAAAGCCUUGGGGCUAAUACCCUCGAGGAAGGACAUCACCCACAGAAGAAGCACCGGCUAACUCCGUGCCAGCAGCCGCGGUAAUACGGAGGGUGCGAGCGUUAAUCGGAAUUACUGGGCGUAAAGCGCGCGUAGGCGGUCUGAUAAGCCGGUUGUGAAAGCCCCGGGCUCAACCUGGGAACGGCAUCCGGAACUGUCAGGCUAGAGUGCAGGAGAGGAAGGUAGAAUUCCCGGUGUAGCGGUGAAAUGCGUAGAGAUCGGGAGGAAUACCAGUGGCGAAGGCGGCCUUCUGGACUGACACUGACGCUGGGUGCGAAAGCGUGGGUAGCAAACAGGAUUAGAUACCCUAGUAGUC